ACCCCGGGAACACUGCUCAAGUAACACGUGGAUAACCUGCCCUUGGGACCGGCAUAACCCCGGGAAACUGGGGAUAAUUCCGGAUAACGCAUAUUUGCUGGAAUGCUUUAUGCGUCAAAAGGAUUCGUCUGCCCAAGGAUGGGUCUGCGGCCUAUCAGGUAGUAGUGGGUGUAAUGUACCUACUAGCCAGCGACGGGUACGGGUUGUGAGAGCAAGAGCCCGGAGAUGGAUUCUGAGACAUGAAUCCAGGCCCUACGGGGCGCAGCAGGCGCGAAAACUUUACAAUGCGGGAAACCGUGAUAAGGGGACACCGAGUGCCAGCAUCAUAUGCUGGCUGUCCGGAUGUGUAAAAUACAUCCGUUAGCAAGGGCCGGGCAAGACCGGUGCCAGCCGCCGCGGUAACACCGGCGGCCCGAGUGGUGAUCGUGAUUAUUGGGUCUAAAGGGUCCGUAGCCGGUUUGGUCAGUCCUCCGGGAAAUCUGAUAGCUCAACUAUUAGGCUUUCGGGGGAUACUGCCAGACUUGGAACCGGGAGAGGUAAGAGGUACUACAGGGGUAGGAGUGAAAUCUUGUAAUCCCUGUGGGACCACCUGUGGCGAAGGCGUCUUACCAGAACGGGUUCGACGGUGAGGGACGAAAGCUGGGGGCACGAACCGGAUUAGAUACCCGGGUAGUCCCAGCCGUAAACGAUGCUCGCUAGGUGUCAGGCAUGGCGCGACCGUGUCUGGUGCCGCAGGGAAGCCGUGAAGCGAGCCACCUGGAAGUACGCCG
This 770-nucleotide ribosomal RNA is filed under the name Methanosarcina mazei. Its description in RNAcentral is "bacterial SSU rRNA". It matches the Rfam family "Archaeal small subunit ribosomal RNA", at positions 74 to 842 of the family's 1478-position model. Lineage: Archaea; Methanobacteriati; Methanobacteriota; Methanomicrobia; Methanosarcinales; Methanosarcinaceae. The record is from RNAcentral.